AUGGGGAAGAAAUUAGCAGCGAAGAAGAAGAAGCACUCCAAGAAGGAGAAACAUUCAAGCCAACCGAAGAAUCACGAGGAAGGAGGCGCUUCUGUUGAUGUUGAUAAGAAUAAGCAUCUGUUCAUUGUUGUGUUUCAUCAUGGUGGUGGGUUUGUAAUGUUGAACAAUGGUGUUACGAUUUACAGAGGGAAAUGGUUCUAA
Non-coding RNA from Vicia faba (fava bean), 201 nucleotides. Lineage: Eukaryota; Viridiplantae; Streptophyta; Magnoliopsida; Fabales; Fabaceae. The record is from the annotation of a GenBank genome assembly.